AUAACUCUUACAAGGUAAAGUUUUUUGUUACGCGGUGUCAGUUUCAGAAGCGUAUUAACUGUUCGAUAUCAUAUACCAUAUAUCUUAGCGACAUCUUGCGAAACAAAAAAACAGUGAAGGAAAAAAAAGUUGGCGGAAGAAAAAAAAUAAUAAUAAUAAUAAUAAUAAUAAUAAUAAUCAGAACAAAUACAAUAGGUCUUUCAACUGAAAGGUUGAAAGACCUAAUAAUCAGAACAAAACCUAUAGGUCUUUCAACCGAAAGGUUGAAAGACCUAAUAAUCAGAACAAACCCUAUAGGUCUUUCAACCGAAAGGUUGAAAGACCUAAUAAUCAGAAGAAAUCCAAUAGGUCUUUCCACGGGAAAGUGGAAAGACCUAAUAAUCAGAAGAAAUCCAAUAGGUCUUUCCACGGAAAAGUGGAAAGACCUAAUUAU
This 433-nucleotide long non-coding RNA is filed under the name Mytilus galloprovincialis (Mediterranean mussel). Lineage: Eukaryota; Metazoa; Mollusca; Bivalvia; Mytilida; Mytilidae. The record is from RNAcentral.